Danio rerio (zebrafish) is the source of this 54-nucleotide non-coding RNA. Lineage: Eukaryota; Metazoa; Chordata; Actinopteri; Cypriniformes; Danionidae. The record is from Rfam.
UAUAUAUAUAUAUAUAUAUCGCUUUGGAUAAAAGCGUCUGCUAAAUGACUAAAU